This is a non-coding RNA of Stegodyphus mimosarum, 73 nucleotides long. The record is from Rfam. Lineage: Eukaryota; Metazoa; Arthropoda; Arachnida; Araneae; Eresidae.
GCCUUCGUGGUGUAGUGGUCUGCACGCUGGACGCGUAACCGAGAGGUCCGUGGUUCGAUUCCCGGCAAAGGCG